Molecule: long non-coding RNA, 241 nt
Filed under: Citrus maxima (pomelo)
Lineage: Eukaryota; Viridiplantae; Streptophyta; Magnoliopsida; Sapindales; Rutaceae
Description: long non-coding RNA (CMAX_LNC000026)
Source: RNAcentral
UUUGAAUGGAGAAUGGGCUUUUAGUUGAAUACAAUAACUGCAUGUUAAAUUCAUUCACUUUAUAAUUAUUUGCUGUUUACAAAGACAUAUGUUCCAGCACCAUACAAAACCUAUAUCAAAUGCAGAAUGCUUCCAUUUUCAAAUACAUGAAGAGGAAACACAUGGUUUUUUUCCUUGUUAUGAUGAAGACUCGAACUGUGAAUUUAAUUGAUUACGAUUUAAAGUCUAUAUUUGCAUGAUC